Long non-coding RNA from Mauremys reevesii (Reeves's turtle), 861 nucleotides. RefSeq lists it as uncharacterized. The record is from RefSeq and is a predicted model, not a curated record. NCBI's taxonomy places the organism in Eukaryota, Metazoa, Chordata, Testudines, Geoemydidae. The transcript has 2 exons.
GAACACCAUCUGGCUGAGGCUUGAUUAACCAGCACUGGCAGACGGCAUCUGUCCAGUUCCAGGAGGAGGCACUUCUAAGACGACUUCUUUUCUAUCCAUGCUGCUGAAACAGCUUCUAAACCAGUGCCAAAGCUGAACAGAAAUUGUUGGAGAGAAUUAGAUCGUGCAUGUGCCGCACAAGAGACUCGAUUAUCCAAACCUCCAUUUCCAACCAGCUGCCAACAUGUUUCCCUCUUCUACUGAUUCCUGAACAUCUCAGUAUCUUCGGAGGUUUUAUUAGGAUUCAGCUGUAUGUCGCUUUCCUGACAUGCUCAAAGAGUUUUUUUUUUUAAAGAAAGGAACUCAGUUCAAUUAUUGAUCUUUUUAAGUGACAAGACCCACCAUGUACAUUUGAUCCAUGAAAAGCUUUCUUGUCAAAAAGAGUUCUGACUACAGAUUCAGGUUCUGAUUCUCCACUUCUUUGAUCCUGCAUCAUCAUUGAUACCUGUGAACAGUAAGACUGCAUCCUGUGUGUAAAACAUUAUUCCAUUUGAUAACAUUUGCACAGGUGUAACAGAUGGCAAAAGGCAGCGAAGAAUCUGGCUAAAAGAGAUACAAAACUUUCCACAACUCCUUUCUUAGUGUCUCUAGUCAGUGAAAGCACAGCAAUAAACAACAGCCAGGAUUUUAUUGAUUUGAAAAUACAUUUAACCAUAGAGAAUAGAGUUUUAGUUUGUCUUUCUGAACAACAGUAAGGAACAAUUUACAAAGAAAACCAAAAGCAUGAGUAAAAUAUAACUGUGAAGUUGAAAUAUGCCAAGACAAACUUUAGCAGCACUUCUACAAAUGUUAUAAUAAAAGCUACAAUGCUCAUUAAUCUCA